RNAcentral lists this long non-coding RNA (213 nucleotides) under Mytilus galloprovincialis (Mediterranean mussel). The record is from RNAcentral. Lineage: Eukaryota; Metazoa; Mollusca; Bivalvia; Mytilida; Mytilidae.
AAAAAUUUGUGCACACUGAAUAACGCGCGUAGCGGGUUAUUUAACAGUGUGCACCACAUUUUUUAUGUUAUUUCGAAUGGACAGAAAAAAUAUUACAGUCAUUUCUUAUAAUUUAAUUCUAAAAUUCAUUUUAAACCGUAGAAAACCAUGAAAAAACGUUGAUGACGUCACGGUCACAUGACUAAAUUAUGUCUAUGGGCUCAUAACAAAAUA